AUUGAACGCUGGCGGCAUGCUUUACACAUGCAAGUCGAACGGUAACAGGCCGCAAGGUGCUGACGAGUGGCGAACGGGUGAGUAAUGCAUCGGAACGUGCCCAGUCGUGGGGGAUAACUGCUCGAAAGAGCAGCUAAUACCGCAUACGAUCUAUGGAUGAAAGCGGGGGACCGUAAGGCCUCGCGCGAUCGGAGCGGCCGAUGUCAGAUUAGGUAGUUGGUGGGGGAAAGGCUCACCAAGCCAACGAUCUGUAGCUGGUCUGAGAGGACGACCAGCCACACUGGGACUGAGACACGGCCCAGAAUUCUACGGGAGGCGGCAGUGGGGAAUUUUGGACACUGGGGGCAACCCUGAUCCAGCAAUGCCGCGUGCAGGAAGAAGGCCUUCGGGUUGUAAACUGCUUUUGUACGGAACGAAACGGUCUGGGUUAAUACCCUGGGCUAAUGACGGUACCGUAAGAAUAAGCACCGGCUAACUACGUGCCAGCCGCCGCGGUAA
Molecule: ribosomal RNA, 498 nt
Filed under: uncultured bacterium
Lineage: Bacteria
Description: partial 16S ribosomal RNA
Rfam family: Bacterial small subunit ribosomal RNA
Source: RNAcentral